This 404-nucleotide ribosomal RNA is filed under the name uncultured bacterium. Its description in RNAcentral is "bacterial SSU rRNA". It matches the Rfam family "Bacterial small subunit ribosomal RNA", at positions 355 to 776 of the family's 1533-position model. The record is from RNAcentral.
UGGGGAAUAUUGGACAAUGGGCGCAAGCCUGAUCCAGCCAUGCCGCGUGGAUGAAGAAGGCCCUAGGGUUGUAAAGUCCUUUCACCGCCGAGGAUAAUGACGGUAGGCGGAGAAGAAGCCCCGGCUAAUUUCGUGCCAGCAGCCGCGGUAAUACGAAAGGGGCUAGCGUUGUUCGGAAUUACUGGGCGUAAAGCGCGCGUAGGCGGCAUUGUAAGUUGGGGGUGAAAUCCCGGAGCUCAACUCCGGAACUGCCUCCAAAACUACAAAGCUAGAGGCCGUGAGAGGAGAGUGGAAUUCCGAGUGUAGAGGUGAAAUUCGUAGAUAUUCGGAAGAACACCAGUGGCGAAGGCGACUCUCUGGCACGGUUCUGACGCUGAGGUGCGAAAGCGUGGGGAGCAAACAGG